CAACAGAAAUGCUGAACUGUGAACAGAGAAAUGAUUGUUUUCUCUCGUCAACUACUAGGAGUUUGUCACUGAACUGAGUAAGGAUGGAGAGUCCUGGAUUGGUCUAUGGUAUGAAUGGAGACAAUCAGGAUCCAAAUGGGAAUGGGUGGACGGAUCACCGCUGACAGAAACGUUCUGGGCAGCAGGACUGCCUCACUAUGAUGGUUACUAUGCUACAUGCUGCAAUCAACAAGGAAAAUGGACACAAGGAUAUUAUUCUGAUAAUAAGAAGUGGAUCUGUGAGAAAAAGAUGAUCUGAACUCUUUGAUGACAGAGAGGUGUGUAGUGUUGAGAUCAACUUUGUUAAAUCAGACCAAUUCUUUAACAUUUGCUCAGCUGUUUAUUCUGUGUUGCUAAAUAACCUGGAUUACAGAGAUAUUGUUCCUCUGCCCUUCAUAGAGCACAAUCUGGUUAGAAGUCAUGUGUACUUACUCUGUAGUCCUACAGGAUUAUUAUAAUAAAAGCUAAUAAAAACAUGGAUUAGCAGGUUGUCUUUACUUUGGUUUAUGUAGUUGAUUAUAACGUUUGUAAUCAGUUAGUUAGAAGUUUUUCCUUAGAACAUUUUACACUCCACACAAAAUAAAACCCCGCCCUACCUCCAUCUCCCCUCCCAAACUCGUCCCCACAACCA
Molecule: long non-coding RNA, 670 nt
Organism: Sander lucioperca (pikeperch)
Lineage: Eukaryota; Metazoa; Chordata; Actinopteri; Perciformes; Percidae
Exons: 2
Source: RefSeq, a predicted model, not a curated record